GCUGGGUGUGGUGGUGCACACCUGUAAUCCCAGCUACUUGGGAGGCUGAGGAAGGAGAAUUGCUUGAACCCAGGAGGUGGAGGUUGCAGUGAGCUGAAAUUACGCCACUGCACUCUAGCCUGGGCGACAGAGCGAGACUCUGUCUCAA
Molecule: non-coding RNA, 148 nt
Filed under: Pan paniscus (pygmy chimpanzee)
Lineage: Eukaryota; Metazoa; Chordata; Mammalia; Primates; Hominidae
Also listed under: 1 other name
Source: Rfam by way of RNAcentral